UAACUGAAGAGUUUGAUCAUGGCUCAGAUUGAACGCUGGCGGCAGGCUUAACACAUGCAAGUCGAGCGGGGGAAGGUAGCUUGCUACUGGACCUAGCGGCGGACGGGUGAGUAAUGCUUAGGAAUCUGCCUAUUAGUGGGGGACAACAUCUCGAAAGGGAUGCUAAUACCGCAUACGUCCUACGGGAGAAAGCAGGGGAUCUUCGGACCUUGCGCUAAUAGAUGAGCCUAAGUCGGAUUAGCUAGUUGGUGGGGUAAAGGCCUACCAAGGCGACGAUCUGUAGCGGGUCUGAGAGGAUGAUCCGCCACACUGGGACUGAGACACGGCCCAGACUCCUACGGGAGGCAGCAGUGGGGAAUAUUGGACAAUGGGGGGAACCCUGAUCCAGCCAUGCCGCGUGUGUGAAGAAGGCCUUAUGGUUGUAAAGCACUUUAAGCGAGGAGGAGGCUACUUUAGUUAAUACCUAGAGAUAGUGGACGUUACUCGCAGAAUAAGCACCGGCUAACUCUGUGCCAGCAGCCGCGGUAAUACAGAGGGUGCGAGCGUUAAUCGGAUUUACUGGGCGUAAAGCGUGCGUAGGCGGCUUAUUAAGUCGGAUGUGAAAUCCCCGAGCUUAACUUGGGAAUUGCAUUCGAUACUGGUGAGCUAGAGUAUGGGAGAGGAUGGUAGAAUUCCAGGUGUAGCGGUGAAAUGCGUAGAGAUCUGGAGGAAUACCGAUGGCGAAGGCAGCCAUCUGGCCUAAUACUGACGCUGAGGUACGAAAGCAUGGGGAGCAAACAGGAUUAGAUACCCUGGUAGUCCAUGCCGUAAACGAUGUCUACUAGCCGUUGGGGCCUUUGAGGCUUUAGUGGCGCAGCUAACGCGAUAAGUAGACCGCCUGGGGAGUACGGUCGCAAGACUAAAACUCAAAUGAAUUGACGGGGGCCCGCACAAGCGGUGGAGCAUGUGGUUUAAUUCGAUGCAACGCGAAGAACCUUACCUGGCCUUGACAUACUAGAAACUUUCCAGAGAUGGAUUGGUGCCUUCGGGAAUCUAGAUACAGGUGCUGCAUGGCUGUCGUCAGCUCGUGUCGUGAGAUGUUGGGUUAAGUCCCGCAACGAGCGCAACCCUUUUCCUUACUUGCCAGC
Molecule: ribosomal RNA, 1127 nt
Filed under: Acinetobacter baumannii
Lineage: Bacteria; Pseudomonadati; Pseudomonadota; Gammaproteobacteria; Moraxellales; Moraxellaceae
Description: bacterial SSU rRNA
Rfam family: Bacterial small subunit ribosomal RNA
Source: RNAcentral